Molecule: non-coding RNA, 70 nt
Organism: Podarcis lilfordi (Lilford's wall lizard)
Lineage: Eukaryota; Metazoa; Chordata; Lepidosauria; Squamata; Lacertidae
Source: the annotation of a GenBank genome assembly
GCGCUGAGCUUGUCAGCAGAGCAUGAGACUCUUAAUCUCAGGGCUGUGGGUUUCAGCCCCACGUUGGGCA